RNAcentral lists this ribosomal RNA (497 nucleotides) under uncultured bacterium. RNAcentral's name for it is "partial 16S ribosomal RNA". It matches the Rfam family "Bacterial small subunit ribosomal RNA", at positions 28 to 507 of the family's 1533-position model. The record is from RNAcentral.
GAUGAACGCUGGCGGCGUGCCUAAUACAUGCAAGUCGAGCGAACGGACGAGAAGCUUGCUUUUCUGAUGUUAGCGGCGGACGGGUGAGUAACACGUGGAUAACCGACCUAUAAGACUGGGAUAACUUCGGGAAACCGGAGCUAAUACCGGAUAAUAUUUUGAACCGCAUGGUUCAAAAGUGAAAGACGGUCUUGCUGUCACUGAUAGAUGGAUCCGCGCUGGAUUAGCUAGUUGGUAAGGUAACGGCUUACCAAGGCAACGAUGCAUAGCCGACCUGAGAGGGUGAUCGGCCACACUGGAAGUGAGACACGGUCCAGACUCCUACGGGAGGCAGCAGUAGGGAAUCUUCCGCAAUGGGCGAAAGCCUGACGGAGCAACGCCGCGUGAGUGAUGAAGGUCUUCGGAUCGUAAAACUCUGUUAUUAGGGAAGAACAUAUGUGUAAGUAACUGUGCAGAUCUUGACGGUACCUAAUCAGAAAGCCACGGCUAACUACGUG